GAGCGGAGAUCAACACGGUUUAUCUUCACAACAGAAAAUACAAUCACAACUUUGAUCAGGGUCACAAUCCCCUAUUUGAAAUUCUCCGCGAAUACCAGGAGGUGGAGGGCCGCUACCGAACUUGCUAAUGCAUAAGCUAUUGCAAUUUCGUGCAUCACAAGGCUUUGUGGUUGAUGGGAUGUACACAUGACACUGGUUUAAAAUUCCAUUCGUCUUAGUGCCUUCAUUUUUUUGUAAGAAAAAUAAAAUAAAUGUGAGAAUGGAAAAAACAUAUUAAAAGACUAGAAAGCUAAAAGAUUGGACCAUGAUUCCCCUAAAUAAUAAAAUUAACUAGAUGUCUCUCACGAUAUUUAUUACGGAGAAAAGGUAUAAGUAACUAAAUUAAAAUAAGAAAUGAGAGACAAAAAAAGAGGAGUAACAAAAUACACUCAUGACAAGCGAAUGUGUUUUACCUCCCAAGAAAAAUCUGGUUAUGACAUUUCAAGAAGAUAUUUAUUCCACUUUAAAAUAAUUCAUGGAGUAAUAGACACCCUAAAACUUAAGUCAUGAGUUGGGGGAUAUUUAUACCUUUUUCCUUUAUUAAAAUAUCAUAAAUCUUUUGUUGAAUUCUGGUCUCACGAAUGACGAAUUAAAUAGAUCACAUAAAUGAAUAUGAAACUUACCGAGAACACUAAAGAGGGCAAAUGUGAAGAAAGCUAUACUCGAGAAGUACUUCAUGAUUUCUUAUUAAAACACCAAGAAAUUCAAUACUCAGAUUGUG
Molecule: long non-coding RNA, 760 nt
Filed under: Nicotiana tabacum (common tobacco)
Lineage: Eukaryota; Viridiplantae; Streptophyta; Magnoliopsida; Solanales; Solanaceae
Description: long non-coding RNA (NTAB_LNC002460)
Source: RNAcentral